CACUUUCCUGGGCCGGGGUAGCGCUCUAGGGCAGAAGGGUAAACUCAGGCUUGAAGAGCCUUCUAGAGAGGACUCAACCUCAGGGAAGAAGCCAUCUGACAUAUGAACUUGAUCCAAGAAUGUCACCAGCUCCUUGGAGCCUCUCUAGAUUCCACCCUCUUCAUACAAGUUAUCCUUCUCCACCCUGCUCUGAGGACCAGGAGAUUGACUUCUACCAACUGCAUUGAUGGCAUCAUCCAGGUGCCCUGACCUCUGGUUUCCAGGUGGAUCUUGCCAAUAGGGAGCAUGGCAGGAGAUCAGAGAGCAGGAGGAGAGAAAAGCUGGAUUAUCUAUUCUUCCUGAUCUCCCCUGUUUUGCUCUGGCUACAGCUGUAGUUGGUGUCAUCUGGCCUCUCCGCCAUGAUUCCACCUCCCACUUAGUCCAGUAACACUAUUUCUCACAUUUGUUUCUUCACUUCAGACUGGGGUGGGAUUGGCUUUCUUCUGCUGAUUGUCCUUGGAUGCCUCAGCAUUCCUGUUGCCCCCCUCAGCCCGCCCACCUUAACCUUGCCCACACCUCCAAAAUAGUCUCUCUUAAUGGUAAAGAGCAGCAGUUACUUU
This 599-nucleotide long non-coding RNA is filed under the name Homo sapiens (human). Its description in RNAcentral is "HSALNT0105880". The record is from RNAcentral. Lineage: Eukaryota; Metazoa; Chordata; Mammalia; Primates; Hominidae.